GACCGCUAGGGAGCUGAAGUACCCGGACACACGCACGAGCGCAGAACAAAGGGCCGGACAUGCUCCAGCCCGCUCCGCCUGCGCCUCGGCCUUGCGCGCGGGGGCCCGGGUUACCUGCGCAGAGCCAGCUGUGAUGUAAAGAAGUUUGUGCUGCAUGAGAGAGAUAGCACCUGAAGAAAAUGAGGCCCUGGAGGAUGAGAGACUCUAAAGGAAAAGGGAAGGGCCUGCUGUCUUCCAGCCACGCCAGCCCCCAACUGAGAAGCGGGGUGAAGCCAUCUUGCAUCUUUAGCCCCAGUCAAGUUACCUCAGCAAAGACUAGCUGACCCUGCCAAGCCCUGCCCAAGUUACAGAAUCAUGAGCAAAUAAAUGGCCGUUUCUGUUUUAAGCUUUUAAAUUUUGGGGGUGGUUUAUGUGUCAAUAAUAACUGAAACAGAUAAUAUAUACAGAAUAAAAUUUAGUUUUAAUAAUCU
RNAcentral lists this non-coding RNA (470 nucleotides) under Pan troglodytes (chimpanzee). Lineage: Eukaryota; Metazoa; Chordata; Mammalia; Primates; Hominidae. The record is from RNAcentral.